GCGUAAGGAACUUGCCUCUUGGUCUGGGACAACUGUUGGAAACGACAGCUAAUACCAGAUAUUAUGAGAUUCUCGCAUGAGAAACUUAUGAAAGCUAUAUGCGCCAAGAGAGAGCCUUGCGUUCCAUUAGCUAGUUGGUGGGGUAACGGCCCACCAAGGCGACGAUGGAUAGCCGGCCUGAGAGGGUGAACGGCCACAAGGGGACUGAGACACGGCCCUUACUCCUACGGGAGGCAGCAGUGGGGAAUAUUGGACAAUGGGCCACAAGCCUGAUCCAGCAAUUCUGUGUGCACGAUGAAGGUCUUCGGAUUGUAAAGUGCUUUCAGUUGGGAAGAAGAAAGUGACGGUACCAACAGAAGAAGCGACGGCUAAAUACGUGCCAGCAGCCGCGGUAAUACGUAUGUCGCAAGCGUUAUCCGGAUUUAUUGGGCGUAAAGCGCGUCUAGGCGGAAAAAUAAGUCUGAUGUUAAAAUGCGGGGCUCAACUCCGUAUUGCGUUGGAAACUGUUUUUCUAGAGUACUGGAGAGGUGGGCGGAACUACAAGUGUAGAGGUGAAAUUCGUAGAUAUUUGUAGGAAUGCCGAUGGAGAAGUCAGCUCACUGGACAGAUACUGACGCUAAAGCGCGAAA
This 629-nucleotide ribosomal RNA is filed under the name uncultured bacterium. RNAcentral's name for it is "bacterial SSU rRNA". It matches the Rfam family "Bacterial small subunit ribosomal RNA", at positions 115 to 758 of the family's 1533-position model. The record is from RNAcentral.